RNAcentral lists this ribosomal RNA (501 nucleotides) under uncultured Glomeromycotina. Its description in RNAcentral is "partial small subunit ribosomal RNA". It matches the Rfam family "Eukaryotic small subunit ribosomal RNA", at positions 591 to 1092 of the family's 1831-position model. Lineage: Eukaryota; Fungi; Glomeromycota. The record is from RNAcentral.
CCAAUAGCGUAUAUUAAAGUUGUUGCAGUUAAAAAGCUCGUAGUUGAACUUCGGGAUCAAUUGGUCGGUCAUGCCAACUGGUUUGAACUGGCCAUAUUGGUUCUCACCUUCUAAUGAACCAUAAUGUCAUUUAUUUGAUGUUAUGGGGAAUUAGGACUGUUACCUUGAAAAAAUUAGAGUGUUUAAAGCAGGCUUUCGCUUGAAUACAUUAGCAUGGAAUAAUGAAAUAGGACAUCGCAUUCUAUUUUGUUGGUUUCUAGGAUCGAUGUAAUGAUUAAUAGGGAUAGUUGGGGGCAUUAGUAUUCAAUUGUCAGAGGUGAAAUUCUUGGAUUUAUUGAAGACUAACUACUGCGAAAGCAUUUGCCAAGGAUGUUUUCAUUAAUCAAGAACGAAAGUUAGGGGAUCGAAGACGAUCAGAUACCGUCGUAAUCUUAACCAUAAACUAUGCCGACUAGGGAUCGGAUGAUGUUGAUUUUAUAAUGACUCAUUCGGCACCUUACG